ACCUGGGCUUGACAUCCUCCGACCGCCCUGGAAACAGGGUUUUCCCGGCUCUGCCGGGACGGAGUGACAGGUGCUGCAUGGCUGUCGUCAGCUCGUGUCGUGAGAUGUUGGGUUAAGUCCCGCAACGAGCGCAACCCUUGUUCUUAGUUGCCAAUAUUUGGUUAGGCACUCUAAGGAGACUGCCUCGGUUAACGAGGAGGAAGGUGGGGAUGACGUCAAGUCCUCAUGGCCUUUAUGCCCAGGGCUACACACGUGCUACAAUGGACGGUACAAAGGGCAGCGACACCGCGAGGUGAAGCCAAUCCCAAAAAGCCGUUCUCAGUUCGGAUUGGAGUCUGCAACUCGACUCCAUGAAGGUGGAAUCGCUAGUAAUCGUGGAUCAGCAUGCCACGGUGAAUACGUUCCCGGGCCUUGUACACACCGCCCGUCACACCACGAAAGUCGAUUGUACCAGAAGUUACUGGGCUAACCCCGUUUACGGGGAGGCAGGUACCUAAGGUACGGUCGGUAAUUGGGGUGAAGUCGUAACAAGGUAACCAAGGGCGAA
This 547-nucleotide ribosomal RNA is filed under the name uncultured organism. RNAcentral describes it as "bacterial SSU rRNA". It matches the Rfam family "Bacterial small subunit ribosomal RNA", at positions 973 to 1510 of the family's 1533-position model. The record is from RNAcentral.